UACAGAGGGUGCAAGCGUUAUUCGGAAUUAUUGGGCGUAAAGAGCACGUAGGCGGUCUCGUAAGUCUGGUGUGAAAUCCCUGGACUCAAUCCAGGAAGUGCAUUGGAUACUGCGAGACUAGAGGAUAGGAGAGGAGAGCGGAAUUCCUGGUGUAGAGGUGAAAUUCGUAGAUAUCAGGAGGAACAACAGGAGCGAAGGCGGCUCUCUGGACUAUAUCUGACGCUGAGGUGCGAAAGCGUGGGGAGCAAAC
This 250-nucleotide ribosomal RNA is filed under the name uncultured bacterium. Its description in RNAcentral is "partial 16S ribosomal RNA". It matches the Rfam family "Bacterial small subunit ribosomal RNA", at positions 524 to 773 of the family's 1533-position model. The record is from RNAcentral.